RNAcentral lists this ribosomal RNA (253 nucleotides) under uncultured bacterium. RNAcentral describes it as "partial 16S ribosomal RNA". It matches the Rfam family "Bacterial small subunit ribosomal RNA", at positions 524 to 776 of the family's 1533-position model. The record is from RNAcentral.
UACGUAGGCAGCGAGCGUUGUUCGGAGUUACUGGGCGUAAAGGGCGCGUAGGCGGCGCACCAAGUCAGGCGUGAAAGCCCUGGGCUCAACCCGGGAAUUGCGCUUGAGACUGGUGUGCUCGAGUACGGGAGAGGAUAGUGGAAUUCCCAGUGUAGAGGUGAAAUUCGUAGAUAUUGGGAAGAACACCGGUGGCGAAGGCGGCUAUCUGGACCGUAACUGACGCUGAGGCGCGAAAGCGUGGGGAGCAAACAGG